RNAcentral lists this long non-coding RNA (247 nucleotides) under Bos taurus (domestic cattle). RNAcentral's name for it is "long non-coding RNA NONBTAT018862". Lineage: Eukaryota; Metazoa; Chordata; Mammalia; Artiodactyla; Bovidae. The record is from RNAcentral.
GUGAGAACUGGACCCUGAAAUCAGGUUUUCAGAUUUGAAAUGUCAUCCUUUUCACUAGUCUAUAAUAAUCAAUAUGGAAAAAGAGAAUGUUCAGAAUUACUUUCUAUGAUUUUCUGUAACUGAGUCACUCUGGAGGAAGAGUGGUUCAUUGUACUUAUCUGUGAGCACUACCAACUAUCUUCAUCCAUCUGCUUUGCUGCCUCAAGAAAGUUUACCUUACCCAUUUAUCAUAUUUACAAUCCAUUCU